UACGGGAGAAAGCAGGGGACCUUCGGGCCUUGCGCUAUCAGAUGAGCCUAGGUCGGAUUAGCUAGUUGGUGAGGUAAUGGCUCACCAAGGCGACGAUCCGUAACUGGUCUGAGAGGAUGAUCAGUCACACUGGAACUGAGACACGGUCCAGACUCCUACGGGAGGCAGCAGUGGGGAAUAUUGGACAAUGGGCGAAAGCCUGAUCCAGCCAUGCCGCGUGUGUGAAGAAGGUCUUCGGAUUGUAAAGCACUUUAAGUUGGGAGGAAGGGCAUUAACCUAAUACGUUAGUGUUUUGACGUU
RNAcentral lists this ribosomal RNA (300 nucleotides) under Pseudomonas sp. It matches the Rfam family "Bacterial small subunit ribosomal RNA", at positions 195 to 476 of the family's 1533-position model. The record is from RNAcentral. Lineage: Bacteria; Pseudomonadati; Pseudomonadota; Gammaproteobacteria; Pseudomonadales; Pseudomonadaceae.